This 400-nucleotide ribosomal RNA is filed under the name uncultured bacterium. Its description in RNAcentral is "bacterial SSU rRNA". It matches the Rfam family "Bacterial small subunit ribosomal RNA", at positions 356 to 773 of the family's 1533-position model. The record is from RNAcentral.
GGGGAAUAUUGGACAAUGGGGGCAACCCUGAUCCAGCCAUGCCGCGUGAGUGAUGAAGGCCUUAGGGUUGUAAAGCUCUUUCGCUAGGGAAGAUAAUGACGGUACCUAGAGAAGAAGCCCCGGCUAACUUCGUGCCAGCAGCCGCGGCAAUACGAAGGGGGCUAGCGUUGUUCGGAAUUACUGGGCGUAAAGCGCACGUAGGCGGACAUUUAAGUCAGGGGUGAAAUCCCAGGGCUCAACCCUGGAACUGCCUUUGAUACUGGGUGUCUUGAGUACGAGAGAGGUGAGUGGAAUUCCGAGUGUAGAGGUGAAAUUCGUAGAUAUUCGGAAGAACACCAGUGGCGAAGGCGGCUCACUGGCUCGUAACUGACGCUGAGGUGCGAAAGCGUGGGGAGCAAAC